Schistosoma curassoni is the source of this 45-nucleotide non-coding RNA. Lineage: Eukaryota; Metazoa; Platyhelminthes; Trematoda; Strigeidida; Schistosomatidae. The record is from Rfam.
AUCCAGAUGACGAUUCCCAAAUAGGACGAAACGCGAAUUCUGGAU